This 315-nucleotide ribosomal RNA is filed under the name uncultured eukaryote. RNAcentral describes it as "partial 18S ribosomal RNA". It matches the Rfam family "Eukaryotic small subunit ribosomal RNA", at positions 1470 to 1796 of the family's 1831-position model. The record is from RNAcentral.
CCCUUAGAUGUCCGGGGCCGCGCGCGCGCUACACUGAAGGAAUCAGCGUGGCUUUCUCCCUGACCCGAAAGGGUUGGGAAACCCGUUGAAUCUCCUUCGUGAUAGGGAUUGGGGCUUGAAAUUGUUCCCCAUGAACGAGGAAUUCCCAGUAAGCGCGAGUCAUAAGCUCGCGUUGAAUACGUCCCUGCCCUUUGUACACACCGCCCGUCGCUCCUACCGAUGAAUCGUCCGGUGAAGUUCACAUAGUGGCGGUUCGUGGAGUUGCUCGCGAAGUGAAAUGGACCUCACGAUUUAGAGGAAGGAGAAGUCGUAACA